GUGCCAGCAGCCGCGGUAAUACAGACGGUCCAAACGUUAUUCGGAAUCACUGGGCUUAAAGAGUUCGUAGGCGGUCAGGAAAGUGGGGUGUGAAAGCCCUCGGCUUAACCGAGGAAUUGCGCUCCAAACUCCCUGACUUGAGGAGGCUAGAGGUAAGCGGAACUGAUGGUGGAGCGGUGAAAUGCGUUGAUAUCAUCAGGAACACCGGAGGCGAAGGCGGCUUACUGGGGCCUUUCUGACGCUGAGGAACGAAAGCUAGGGGAGCGAACGGGAUUAGAAACCCCCGUAGUCC
Molecule: ribosomal RNA, 292 nt
Filed under: uncultured bacterium
Lineage: Bacteria
Description: partial 16S ribosomal RNA
Rfam family: Bacterial small subunit ribosomal RNA
Source: RNAcentral